This is an RNA transcript of Juglans microcarpa x Juglans regia, 2526 nucleotides long. It is a transcript of the gene named casein kinase 1-like protein HD16, with no coding region annotated. The transcript is spliced from 16 exons. The record is from RefSeq and is a predicted model, not a curated record. Lineage: Eukaryota; Viridiplantae; Streptophyta; Magnoliopsida; Fagales; Juglandaceae.
CUCCGUUCCAACACUACCCAGGGCGGUCUCUGUGAUCUAACACGCUUCGAGACGGCCUCUCUCCCUCUCUCUCUCUCUCUCUCUCUCUCUCCGCUCCAAAUUUUUACCAAACCCUAACCCUUUUCUUCCCCAAUAUCAACCCCGAUUCCAUCCAGUCUUAUCUAGUUUCCGCUGAAUCGAGGCAUCGGAUCCCCGUCCUUUCGUUUUUCCCCAAACCAAAAUCUUCCAUUUCGGCCAUGUGAGCUGAGCAAUAUAAUGAUCGGAUUUUUGGACUCUGAUGCCUAUUGUAUGGAUUUGAGCAAUGCCGGAGCUUCGCAGAGGAGUCCGCCGAGGCCGUGCUAAGGUCGCGCACAAGCGAUCGGAGCCCCCGGUUGGAAACUACGUGAAGACCCGUGCCGCGGUCGCCAGGGCAAAGAAGUUGAAGCUAGAGAAGGAGGAGGAGGAGGAGGAACAGCUGCAGCAGGUGAUUGUGAUUUCCGAGAGGGAUAGUGGUUCGGAGGAGAAGAAAGGAAAGAAGGCUGUUGGUAAGGAAGACAAGGGUGCGAUGGCUGAUGAUAGUGGCGGUUUGAGUGCCAAUAAGGCCGCUGGGCAAGAGGAAGAGGGCAGCACCGCCCCUUUUCCCGAGAAGGUCACAGUGGGAGGAUCACCCAUAUAUAAAAUAGAGAGAAAAUUGGGCAAAGGUGGGUUUGGUCAGGUAUUCGUUGGUCGACGUGUUUCAGGUGGAACUGAACGCUCCACAGGUCCUGGGCUUUGGAGGUAGCUCUGAAAUUUGAGCAUAGAAACAGCAAAGGCUGCAACUAUGGCCCACCAUACGAGUGGCAAGUUUACAACACUCUUGGUGGUAGUCAUGGAGUGCCUAAAGUACACUACAAAGGGAGGCAAGGAGACUAUUAUGUGAUGGUUAUGGAUAUGCUAGGUCCCAGCUUGUGGGAUGUAUGGAAUACUUCAGGACAGGCGAUGUCAUCCGAAAUGGUUGCUUGUAUAGCAGUCGAGUCCUUAUCAAUUCUAGAGAAGAUGCAUGCGAGAGGUUAUGUCCAUGGUGAUGUAAAGCCAGAGAACUUUUUACUUGGCCAGCCAUCUACGGCACAGGAGAAGAAGUUGUUCCUUGUUGACCUUGGAUUAGCAACAAAGUGGAGAGAUAGCUCGAAUGGACAGCAUGUUGAAUAUGAUCAACGUCCUGAUAUGUUCAGAGGAACUGUUCGAUAUGCUAGUGUUCAUGCUCACUUGGGAAGAACUGCUAGUAGAAGAGAUGAUCUUGAGUCUCUUGCAUAUACACUCAUUUUUCUCCACAGAGGCAGGUUGCCGUGGCAAGGCUAUCAGGGUGAUAACAAAUCGUUUCUAGUUUGCAAAAAAAAGAUGGCAACGUCUCCUGAAAUGCUAUGCUGCUUCUGCCCGCCACCUCUUAAGCAAUUUCUUGAGAUUGUGGUGAACAUGAAAUUUGAUGAGGAGCCUAACUAUGCCAAGCUAAUAUCUUUAUUUGAGGGCUUAAUUGGGCCUAAUCCAGCUUUAAGGCCAAUAAGCACCGAUGGUGCUCAAAAGGUUGGUCAAAAACGAGGUAGGUUGAAUAUUGAGGAAGAAGAUGAUGGGCAGCCCAAGAAGAAAGUGCGUUUAGGAGUCCCUGCUACACAGUGGAUUUCAGUUUACAAUGCUAGGCUUCCAAUGAAACAGAGGUACCAUUAUAACGUAGCUGAUGCAAGGCUGGCGCAACAUGUGGAGAGAGGAAUUGCAGAUGGGCUGCUUAUAAGUUGCGUGGCAUCUUGUUCCAAUCUCUGGGCACUUAUUAUGGAUGCUGGAACUGGUUUUACAAGUCAAGUUUAUGAGCUGUCACCUUUCUUCUUACACAAGGAAUGGAUCAUGGAACAAUGGGAAAAGAACUACUACAUCAGUUCUAUAGCCGGUGCCAACAAUGGGAGCUCCCUCGUGGUUAUGUCAAAAGGCACCCAAUACACUCAGCAGUCUUACAAAGUGAGUGAUUCAUUCCCCUUCAAGUGGAUAAACAAGAAGUGGAGAGAAGGGUUCCAUGUGACUUCAAUGGCAACUGCUGGGAGCCGGUGGGGUGUUGUCAUGUCUCGCAAUGCUGGCUUCAGUGAUCAGGUUGUGGAGCUUGAUUUUCUCUAUCCAAGUGAAGGCAUCCAUAGGCGUUGGGACGGUGGUUACCGAAUUACAUCAACAGCUGCCACUUGGGAUCAAGCUGCUCUCAUUUUGAGUGUUCCCAGGCGCAAACCUGGUGAUGAAACUCAGGAGACUUUACGGACAUCCCAAUUUCCAAGCACCCAUGUUAAGGAAAAGUGGCAAAAGAAUCUCUAUCUUGCUUGUUUGUGUUAUGGGCGGACUGUAUCUUGAUUCCCGUGUAAUUGCAAGGAAUUUUAUGUCAAAAGAAAGUAAGAUUUUGGUUUUUUGGUAUCAUUAUGUAGUAGUAUUUCAUUUCAAUUGUAAACAACGAUUGAGGAGCUUAGUUGCUGCAGCAGACCUGUGCUCCUAUGUAUGAUAAAUUUGUAUCAAACCUGUACGUUUACUUUCUGUUUA